Molecule: unclassified non-coding RNA, 1467 nt
Filed under: Hevea brasiliensis (rubber tree)
Lineage: Eukaryota; Viridiplantae; Streptophyta; Magnoliopsida; Malpighiales; Euphorbiaceae
Source: RNAcentral
AAUAAUAAUAAUAAUAAUAAUGUGAAUUCAAGUUUCCAAACAGGCAAAAUGAGAAAACUUCGAGUGCGACUAUAAAACAAGAAGAAAAUUCAGACAAGAAUAAGACACUUGACUGUAGCAAAAAUUCAAGAAACAUCUUAUUCUAAGUCAGAAGAAAGAUAUUGUAAAAGGUUACAACCACAAAUAAAAUGAUAACCCAUGAUAACAGCUAGUCUACAUCAUGAAUCUGGAGGCAUGAAAGAAAACUAAGUAAAAUGGUGUUUCCAAAAAUUGUUAUGCACUGAAAUAAACAAUAUAUAAGAUCUGGCAACACCAAUCUGGUUAAAAUCCUCAAAAAAGUGAAAAAUCAGGCCAUAGAAAGGUACAUAUUUUCUAAAACACCAAUGGUUGAUAAAGAAAUGCACGCCAAAAUGUGGGACAUAUAUCACCAUUAGAACACCGAAGAACACAGGCCACAGGUAUUUGCUCAUAAAAAACAAGAAAAAAGUUUCUCAAUGCUAAAAGCACAUUUAGCAAUGCAGUUUUUGAAACAUUUAGAAAAAAACAUUAUCAACAAGAAGUAGUACCCUGAGUUUCCAAGGGCAAAGUGAUGUUUGCUGAAAUUUCAAACCACUCAUUUUCCAAGCAUGAAGAAAAUGCAUUUAUCACCAAAAAAAAUACAAAAGCUGAUUUCCAAAGGAGAAAAAAAAAGGACAGUCAAUUGUACCUUCUAAUGCAAUCCCUCUUGUAGCAUUUAUGCAAUAUCUCUUCUUAAUGCUAUUCAUCACUUUCUUAAGCACCAAGAUAAAAUACAUAAUAAUCUUGACCAAAGAGCCAUACAUCAUUUUCUAAGUAAAUUACAGGAAAACAAGACCACAAUAAUCCAGAUGUGAAGAAUCCUACAGCACCACAAAUAGCAGAAGCGUAUAAAAUAGGAACCCAGUAGACUCCUUCUGACCAUCAAAUUCUUCUCAGUAACCAAACAAGCAAUAGAUAUAUUACAGUAGAUCCAAAUUCCUCUAAGGUGGGAAGACAAAACUCGUUGUGCAAGAAGAUACAAGAAAAAGGAGUCAAAACCUUGAACAGAGCCCAUCUCUUUCUCAACCUUAGCUUGCAUCUCGCGAAGAGCCGCCGCUUCCUCCUCCAUCUCCUUCAACCUCUUCUUCAUCUCAUCCAGCUCCUGCAACAUUACACCCACAUAGAGUGGUGAUAAUCAUAAAUCAAUACAAGAAAGUUAAGUAAAUAGCUUUUCGAAUAUAGAAACAUCUAAGAUCGAUUAAAUCACUAGGGUUUUUAUCGUCUCUAUGCAAAAUUCAAACUGAAAGAGAUAGGACCUUGACGGCGUCUUCAUCGGCGGCGGACAUGUCGACGUCGGCGUUGUGAGAGUCCAUAUCGCCUUCCACGUCAGGAAUCUCCCCCCCGUACACCUCAUGCUCUUCUUCCUCCAUAUCUGUGGCUCCGAUUAGAUGUUUCCAGAAGCAAGAAAAU